UAAUCGCGUGGUCACGAUUAUCUGAUAGUGUUUUAUUGUUUAUUUAUUUUUACAAAUUAGAAUGACCUGAAAUUUGGAGCGUGUAUUCAUCAAUAAUAAGGUAAUGUUCGAAAAAUAUAAAAAAAUAUUUUACAUGAAACAUAUUGACUAAAAUACCCUUAAAAAGUUUUGGGGGUAUUUUGGUCAAUUUUGUUUUCCAGGAUAAUUUUUUUUGAAUGAGCCUCAGUAAGAUGUACAUACUCUUGAAAUUUCAAGUCAUUCUAAUUUAUAGAAAAAAACUGAAAAAUAAAACACUAACAGACAAACGUGACCGCACGAUGAAAUUUGGACAGUAAUGAGGGUAGACAAAAUCACUAUUCAUUUUUGCCAAUAAGCGUUAAGAAGAAUAUAUAUAUAUAUAUGGAUGGAAAAGUCUUCCCAACGAGGUAAAAAUGAAUAGUAAUUUUGUCUACUCUCAUGUCCAAAUUUCAUCGCGUGGUCACAAUUAUUUGGUAGUAUUUUAUUUUUUAUUUUGGUUUUAAAAAUCAAAAUGGGUUGAAAUUUUGAGGAUAUGUACAUCUUACUGAGGUGCUUUUAAUAAAAAUAUAAAAAAAUUAUCCGCUUAAACAAAUUAACCAAAAUACCCCUAAAACAUUUCAUGGGUAUUUUGGUCAAUAUUAUUUAUGUAAAAUAUUUUUUUUAUAUAUUUUUAAAAGAUUCCCUAAUUUUUGAUGAACACAGGCUUCAAAUUUCAGAUCAUUCCGAUUUGUAGAAAAAAAAAAUGAAAAAUAAAAUACUAUCAGACAAUCGUAACCGCACGAUGAACUUUAGGAGGUGAUGAGGGUAAGCAAAAUCACUAUUCAUUUUCGCCUAUAGGCGUUACGUAGUGUUUAUAUAUAUAUAUAUAUAUACGAGUAAUGAUCCUUUGAGACCCUCCCACACUAUUGAUAAGUGAGAGAAUAGCAACUGUAAUAGAGAGAAGAGAGAAAUUUAUUCCGUAUACCUACUUGAGACCCAUUCUCAAAGAGGGAAGCAGACACCGAAGUGACAUCCAUGUUGUAGAUAAGAUAUAUGCGCUGGCACCGAAGUGACAUCCCUGCUGUAGAUAAGGUAUAUGCGCUGACACCGAAGUGACAUCCCUGUUGUAGAUAAGGUAUAUGCGCUGACAUCCUGUUGAUGUAAUUUGUAGACACCCCAUUUUAAAAAUGGUAAAUUCAAUGGUUUUCCUGAACCCAUAUGUAAU
Molecule: long non-coding RNA, 1222 nt
Filed under: Amborella trichopoda
Lineage: Eukaryota; Viridiplantae; Streptophyta; Magnoliopsida; Amborellales; Amborellaceae
Description: long non-coding RNA (ATRI_LNC000845)
Source: RNAcentral